Molecule: ribosomal RNA, 253 nt
Filed under: uncultured bacterium
Lineage: Bacteria
Description: partial 16S ribosomal RNA
Rfam family: Archaeal small subunit ribosomal RNA
Source: RNAcentral
UACCAGCACCCCGAGUGGUCGGGACGAUUAUUGGGCCUAAAGCAUCCGUAGCCGGUCUUGCAAGUCUUCCGUUAAAUCCAGCUGCUUAACGGAUGGGCUGCGGAGGAUACUAUGGAGCUAGGAGGCGGGAGAGGCAAGCGGUACUUAGUGGGUAGGGGUAAAAUCCGUUGAUCCAUUGAAGACCACCAGUGGCGAAGGCGGCUUGCCAGAACGCACUCGGCGGUGAGGGAUGAAAGCUGGGGGAGCAAACCGG